Fomitopsis betulina (razor strop fungus) is the source of this 110-nucleotide non-coding RNA. The record is from the annotation of a GenBank genome assembly. Lineage: Eukaryota; Fungi; Basidiomycota; Agaricomycetes; Polyporales; Fomitopsidaceae.
GGCGCUAUAGCCAAGUGGUUACGGCGACAGAUUAGAAUUGAAUCGGGCUUAAUCGAAUCGAGUCGAUCUGUUCCUCUAUGAGGGCGCAGGUUCGAGUCCUGCUGGCGUCG